This 253-nucleotide ribosomal RNA is filed under the name uncultured bacterium. RNAcentral describes it as "partial 16S ribosomal RNA". It matches the Rfam family "Bacterial small subunit ribosomal RNA", at positions 524 to 776 of the family's 1533-position model. The record is from RNAcentral.
UACGGAGGGGGCUAGCGUUGUUCGGAAUUACUGGGCGUAACGCGCACGUAGGCGGCUUUGUAAGUUAGAGGUGAAAGCCCGGGGCUCAACUCCGGAAUUGCCUUUAAAACUGCAUCGCUAGAAUUGUGGAGAGGUAAGUGGAAUUCCGAGUGUAGAGGUGAAAUUCGUAGAUAUUCGGAAGAACACCAGUGGCGAAGGCGACUUACUGGACACAUAUUGACGCUGAGGUGCGAGAGCGUGGGGAGCAAACAGG